AAACAUGUCUUUUUGAAAAUAAUUUAAAGUUUAAUCUGCCCACUGAUNAAAUUAUUAAAGGGCUGCAGUAUUUUGACUGUACAAAGGUAGCAUAAUCAUUAGUCUCUUAAUUGGUGACUUGUAUGAAAGAUUGGAUGAGAUAUAUACUGUCUCUAUUUAAUUUAUAAAAUUUAAUUUUUUAGUAAAAAAGCUAAAAUUAUUUUAAAAGACGAGAAGACCCUAUAGAGUUUUAUAAUUUAUUUAAUUAUUAUUAAUAUGUAAAUUUUAAAAUUAAAAUUAAAUAAAUUAUUUUGUUGGGGUGAUAGAAAAAUUAAAUUAACUUUUUUUUUAUUGUAUACAUUAAUUUAUGAGUAAAUGAUCCAUUAAUAAUGAUUAAAAGAAAAAAUUACCUUAGGGAUAACAGCGUAAUUUUUUUUUUUAGUUCAAAUAGGAAAAAAAGUUUGCGACCUCGAUGUUGGAUUAAGAUAAAAUUUAAAUGCAAAAGUUUAAAAUUUUGAUCUGUUCGAUCAUUAAAAUCUUA
This 520-nucleotide ribosomal RNA is filed under the name Papilio lorquinianus ochoco. RNAcentral describes it as "partial 16S ribosomal RNA". The stretch from base 396 to 520 matches the Rfam family "Bacterial large subunit ribosomal RNA", at positions 2473 to 2598 of the family's 2925-position model. The record is from RNAcentral. Lineage: Eukaryota; Metazoa; Arthropoda; Insecta; Lepidoptera; Papilionidae.